UCCUAGCCGUAAACGAUGGAUACUAGGCGUAGCUCGUAUCGACCCGAGCUGUGCCGUAGCUAACGCGUUAAGUAUCCCGCCUGGGGAGUACGCAGGCAACUGUGAAACUCAAAGGAAUUGACGGGGGCCCGCACAAGCGGUGGAGUAUGUGGUUUAAUUCGAUGCAACGCGAAGAACCUUACCAAGACUUGACAUGUCACGAAUUCCGUUGAAAGAUGGA
RNAcentral lists this ribosomal RNA (220 nucleotides) under uncultured bacterium. RNAcentral's name for it is "partial 16S ribosomal RNA". It matches the Rfam family "Bacterial small subunit ribosomal RNA", at positions 794 to 1012 of the family's 1533-position model. The record is from RNAcentral.